GAACUUCCUAGGCCCUAGAAAGCUUCUAACUUUCUAAAAAGCGGUGCAACUCCGUUUAUGGUUCU
This 65-nucleotide transfer RNA is filed under the name Curculionoidea sp. 13 KM-2017. RNAcentral's name for it is "tRNA-Ser". The record is from RNAcentral. Lineage: Eukaryota; Metazoa; Arthropoda; Insecta; Coleoptera.